Molecule: unclassified non-coding RNA, 436 nt
Filed under: Hevea brasiliensis (rubber tree)
Lineage: Eukaryota; Viridiplantae; Streptophyta; Magnoliopsida; Malpighiales; Euphorbiaceae
Source: RNAcentral
AAUGUUCAUGACAUGAAAAACCAUAAACGAAGUUUUCUCAGUAGCAAAAGAACUCAAACACCCUCCCCUUCCCCCAGAGCUUGGGGCACACUUAUGUUUCUCACCAACAAUUGCAUUAAAAAAACUGAACACAUAUACUACUGCAAGCAUGCGGUUUCAUCAUAUGUUCCUCCUAGACAAUCCUAAAACCAUGCUUCUAAUAGAAAAGAAGCUGGUUCACAUCUAAUAGCGUAGCCAUAUUUAGAAGUUCUGUACUUUCGGUGCACGCCACUAAGCUUCCCAAUUGCUGCCUUCUGAUGGAAAGAAACCAUCAAUUUCGAGCAUUCCAAAAGUUGAUCUUUGACAUAGCUGCUAUGCUUCUCACAGGUUUUAUUCCACUCCUUAGACACACCGAGAGUGCAUUGUGCAGUAAAGAUAGCAGCAGCUGCAAGCAUUG